AGAUAUAAGGGUGAUCUGGCUGUGACAUCUGUCAUCCCAUUGAUUGCCAGGGUUGAUUUGGCUGAUGUGGCUGGCUAGGUGGGUGUCCCUUUCCUCCCUCACUGCCCUUUGUGUGUCACUUUGGAAGCUGUGCCCUCAGUCAAAAUGAUACCCUUUCCUGAAUCAGAACAGAGGAGAACCAGUCUUCUGUCAAGAGUAUAGGACUAGUUGCGCUCUCCCUCCAUACAAGCUCUCAAGGUCUAUUUGAAUCCAGGCUCAGCCACUUCUAGCUGUGUAACUAUAACACCAUGUUUGUGCCU
This 299-nucleotide small nuclear RNA is filed under the name Jaculus jaculus (lesser Egyptian jerboa). RNAcentral's name for it is "7SK RNA (ENSJJAG00000001563.1)". It matches the Rfam family "7SK RNA". Rfam says of the family: 7SK was discovered as an abundant small nuclear RNA in the mid-70s but a possible function has only recently been suggested. Two independent studies have found that 7SK RNA binds the CDK9/cyclin T complex (known as elongation factor P-TEFb). P-TEFb activates transcription by phosphorylating the C-terminal domain of RNA polymerase II. Lineage: Eukaryota; Metazoa; Chordata; Mammalia; Rodentia; Dipodidae. The record is from Rfam by way of RNAcentral.